GCAAGUCGAACGAGAACGCACCUUCGGGUGUUAGUAGAGUGGCGCACGGGUGAGUAACGCGUGGGAACCUACCGAGAAGUGGGGGAUAACCUUUGGAAACGAAGGCUAAUACCGCAUAAUCCCUUAGGGGGAAAGAUUUAUCGCUUUUCGAUGGUCCCGCGUCCAAUUAGCUAGUUGGUAGGGUAAUGGCUUACCAAGGCGACGAUUGGUAGCUGGUCUGAGAGGAUGAUC
RNAcentral lists this ribosomal RNA (231 nucleotides) under uncultured bacterium. RNAcentral's name for it is "partial 16S ribosomal RNA". It matches the Rfam family "Bacterial small subunit ribosomal RNA", at positions 57 to 305 of the family's 1533-position model. The record is from RNAcentral.